Molecule: ribosomal RNA, 488 nt
Filed under: uncultured bacterium
Lineage: Bacteria
Description: bacterial SSU rRNA
Rfam family: Bacterial small subunit ribosomal RNA
Source: RNAcentral
ACGCUGGCGGUGUGCUUAACACAUGCAAGUCGUGCGACGAACCAGACUUCGGUCUGGGGCAAAGCGGCGAACGGGUGAGUAACACGUGGGUAAUCUGCCCCGAUGACUGGGACAACCCGAGGAAACUCGGGCUAAUACCGGAUGUGGUGCCUGGACUCAAGUCCGGUCACUAAAGGUAGCUUCGGCUUCCGCAUUGGGAGGGGCCCGCGGCCCAUUAGCUUGUUGGUGGGGUCAAGGCCUACCAAGGCAACGAUGGGUAGCUGGUCUGAGAGGACGAUCAGCCACACUGGGACUGAGACACGGCCCAGACUCCUACGGGAGGCAGCAGUGGGGAAUCUUGCGCAAUGCGCGAAAGCGUGACGCAGCAACACCGCGUGAGGGAAGACGGCCUUAGGGUUGUAAACCUCUUUCAGAUGGGACGAAGGUGAUGCGGUGAAUAGCCGAUGUCAUUGACGGUACCGUCAGAAGAAGCUCCGGCUAACUACGUG